RNAcentral lists this ribosomal RNA (844 nucleotides) under Halomonas sp. Its description in RNAcentral is "bacterial SSU rRNA". It matches the Rfam family "Bacterial small subunit ribosomal RNA", at positions 54 to 891 of the family's 1533-position model. The record is from RNAcentral. Lineage: Bacteria; Pseudomonadati; Pseudomonadota; Gammaproteobacteria; Oceanospirillales; Halomonadaceae.
CAUGCAGUCGAGCGGAACGAUGGAAGCUUGCUUCCAGGCGUCGAGCGGCGGACGGGUGAGUAAUGCAUAGGAAUCUGCCCGAUAGUGGGGGAUAACGUGGGGAAACUCACGCUAAUACCGCAUACGUCCUACGGGAGAAAGCAGGGGAUCUUCGGACCUUGCGCUAUCGGAUGAGCCUAUGUCGGAUUAGCUAGUUGGUGAGGUAACGGCUCACCAAGGCGACGAUCCGUAGCUGGUCUGAGAGGAUGAUCAGCCACACUGGGACUGAGACACGGCCCAGACUCCUACGGGAGGCAGCAGUGGGGAAUAUUGGACAAUGGGGGAAACCCUGAUCCAGCCAUGCCGCGUGUGUGAAGAAGGCCUUCGGGUUGUAAAGCACUUUCAGCGAGGAAGAAGGCCUGAGGGCUAAUACCCUUCAGGAAGGACAUCACUCGCAGAAGAAGCACCGGCUAACUCCGUGCCAGCAGCCGCGGUAAUACGGAGGGUGCGAGCGUUAAUCGGAAUUACUGGGCGUAAAGCGCGCGUAGGUGGCUUGAUAAGCCGGUUGUGAAAGCCCCGGGCUCAACCUGGGAACGGCAUCCGGAACUGUCAGGCUAGAGUGCAGGAGAGGAAGGUAGAAUUCCCGGUGUAGCGGUGAAAUGCGUAGAGAUCGGGAGGAAUACCAGUGGCGAAGGCGGCCUUCUGGACUGACACUGACACUGAGGUGCGAAAGCGUGGGUAGCAAACAGGAUUAGAUACCCUGGUAGUCCACGCCGUAAACGAUGUCGACUAGCCGUUGGGUUCCUUGAGAACUUUGUGGCGCAGUUAACGCGAUAAGUCGACCGCCUGGGGAGUACGGCCGCAA